Molecule: ribosomal RNA, 120 nt
Filed under: Nephroselmis olivacea
Lineage: Eukaryota; Viridiplantae; Chlorophyta; Nephroselmidophyceae; Nephroselmidales; Nephroselmidaceae
Source: RNAcentral
GUCCUGGUGUCUUCAGCGCAGUGGAACCACACCAAUCCAUCUCGAACUUGGUGGUGAAACGCUGUGGCGGCUACGAUACUCGAGGGGGGGCCCUUGGGGACAAUCGCUCGAUGCCAGGAC